This 490-nucleotide ribosomal RNA is filed under the name uncultured bacterium. RNAcentral's name for it is "partial 16S ribosomal RNA". It matches the Rfam family "Bacterial small subunit ribosomal RNA", at positions 30 to 507 of the family's 1533-position model. The record is from RNAcentral.
AUUGAACGCUGGCGGCAGGCCUAACACAUGCAAGUCGAACGGUAACAGGGAUCAGCUUGCUGAUUCGCUGACGAGUGGCGGACGGGUGAGUAAUGUCUGGGAAACUGCCUGAUGGAGGGGGAUAACUACUGGAAACGGUAGCUAAUACCGCAUAACGUCGCAAGACCAAAGAGGGGGACCUUCGGGCCUCUUGCCAUCGGAUGUGCCCAGAUGGGAUUAGCUAGCAGGUGGGGUAACGGCUCACCUAGGCGACGAUCCCUAGCUGGUCUGAGAGGAUGACCAGCCACACUGGAACUGAGACACGGUCCAGACUCCUACGGGAGGCAGCAGUGGGGAAUAUUGCACAAUGGGCGCAAGCCUGAUGCAGCCAUGCCGCGUGUAUGAAGAAGGCCUUCGGGUUGUAAAGUACUUUCAGCGGGGAGGAAGGGAGUAAAGUUAAUACCUUUGCUCAUUGACGUUACCCGCAGAAGAAGCACCGGCUAACUCCGUG